CAGCUGGUUGGUGGGGUAAGAGCUCACCAAGGCGACGAUCGGUAGCUGGUCUGAGAGGACGAUCAGCCACACUGGGAUUGAGAACGGCCCAGACUCCUACGGGGGGCAGCAGUGAGGAAUUUUCGGCAAUGGGGGCAACCCUGACCGAGCAACGCCGCGUGCAGGAAGAAGGUUUUCGGAUCGUAAACUGCUUUUCUCGGGGACGAGCAAGGACGGUACCCGAGGAAGAAGCCCCGGCUAACUACGUGCCAGCAGCCGCGGUAAUACGUAGGAGGCGAGCGUUGUCCGGAGUUACUGGGCGUAAAGCGUCCGCAGGCGGUCUUUGAAGUUCAAAGUGACAGUCGUCGGCUCAACUGACGGAGGGCUGGGAAGACUCAAAGACUUGAGGGCUCAAGAGGGACACGGAAUUCCGGGUGGAGUGGUGAAAUGCGUAGAUAUCCGGAGGAACACCAAAGGCGUAGGCAGUGUCCUGGGGAGCCCCUGACGCUCAGGGACGAAAGCCAGGGGAGCGAACGGGAUUAGAUACCCCGGUAGUCCU
This 538-nucleotide ribosomal RNA is filed under the name uncultured bacterium. Its description in RNAcentral is "SSU rRNA". It matches the Rfam family "Bacterial small subunit ribosomal RNA", at positions 242 to 797 of the family's 1533-position model. The record is from RNAcentral.